Molecule: long non-coding RNA, 678 nt
Organism: Marmota flaviventris (yellow-bellied marmot)
Lineage: Eukaryota; Metazoa; Chordata; Mammalia; Rodentia; Sciuridae
Source: RefSeq, a predicted model, not a curated record
CUUUGCUUGCUCUGCUUCUUCUUUCUUUUCCUAUGCUGACCUGCAAGUGAAUUACUGCAACAUUUGGCGUAGUCGGCAGGAUCCAGCACCAAAAGGGUACCUUCAAGACUUAUCAAAUUGCAGAAUGAGCAACCCAUUUAUCAGACAACUUCAGGAGCUGGCAAUGCAGAGAACUCCUACAAUGGCAAUAAGAACAACAGACCCCCCAACGUGGGGACAGAUGAAAAGGUUGACUCAAGAAGCUAAAAAAAAACCUUCAAAAGGCAAAUCAGCCUUUAAAUCCUGUUAAUCUUUUAUUAGCUAUGCUUGCAGUUAUUAAUUGCCAGUCUUCCAACACUGAAAAAAGCGAAGACAACUGAAACAUGAAACCUCUCUUAUCACUUCUGCAAUGGCUCAUUAACAAAAACAAUAGGAGGGAGAUGUAGAGAAUCAGAUGUGACUGCGUUACUAUUACUGUCCUUGAUGGAGUCUGCCUGCAAACGGGAUAUUCUGUCAAGGUAUAGAUAGGUAACAGCGGACAUGCUUGAAAAGGAGGUGUCUGCUGUCCUUGGGAGAACUUGCCUGCAAAUGGGAUAUUCUGCCAAGUGGGCUAGGAGGGCGCUAAGAAAAAUUUUAUUAUCUGUUCUUAACAAGAACAGAGCUUGGCAUGCUCCAGGCCGAGAGCAGAUUAGCCAUGAG